CUCUUCAAGCUCGAUUUCGCUCGUGCCUUCGACUUUGUAUCCUGGGCUUACCUGCUCGAGCUGCUGCAUCGCAUGGGGUUCUCGCAGCGUUGGCGAAAAUGGAUGGCCCUGCUUCUCUCCACUGCUUCCUCCUCCUGUCUGCUAAACGGGGCGUCGGGCCCAAGUUUUUUGCACGCCUGCGGGCUCAGGCAAGGAUACCCACUCUCGCCGCUGCUCUUCAUCUGGCGAUCGGCCCUCUGUAUCGUCUUUUGGACACUGCCACUUCAACCGAGCUCCUGGCACCGCUACCGGGACGGGGAGCAAGCAUGCGGGUGA
Molecule: ribosomal RNA, 315 nt
Filed under: Triticum aestivum (bread wheat)
Lineage: Eukaryota; Viridiplantae; Streptophyta; Magnoliopsida; Poales; Poaceae
Description: partial small subunit ribosomal RNA
Source: RNAcentral